Molecule: ribosomal RNA, 524 nt
Filed under: uncultured bacterium
Lineage: Bacteria
Description: bacterial SSU rRNA
Rfam family: Bacterial small subunit ribosomal RNA
Source: RNAcentral
ACAUCCAGAGAACUUAGCAGAGAUGCUUGGUGCCUUCGGGAACUCUGAGACAGGUGCUGCAUGGCUGUCGUCAGCUCGUGUUGUGAAAUGUUGGGUUAAGUCCCGNAACGAGCGCAACCCUUAUCCUUUGUUGCCAGCGGCUCGGCCGGGAACUCAAAGGAGACUGCCGGUGAUAAACCGGAGGAAGGUGGGGAUGACGUCAAGUCAUCAUGGCCCUUACGGCCAGGGCUACACACGUGCUACAAUGGCGCAUACAAAGAGAAGCGACCUCGCGAGAGUAAGCGGACCUCAUAAAGUGCGUCGUAGUCCGGAUUGGAGUCUGCAACUCGACUCCAUGAAGUCGGAAUCGCUAGUAAUCGUAGAUCAGAAUGCUACGGUGAAUACGUUCCCGGGCCUUGUACACACCGCCCGUCACACCAUGGGAGUGGGUUGCAAAAGAAGUAGGUAGCUUAACCUUCGGGAGGGCGCUUACCACUUUGUGAUUCAUGACUGGGGUGAAGUCGUAACAAGGUAGGCGUAGCGAG